CACUGUUUCUGUUCUCUGGACCCUGCCUUUUGGAUUUCGAUUUGUUUCUGGCUCUCUGAUCACCUGGUUCUGACCUUGGACCGCUCACUGGAUCCCCUGACCCCUCUCGCUUCCCCUGGACCCAAGUCCUCUGGGACCAACUUCUGUGGACUCACCCAGACUAAUGUGUCUACAGUUAAAAGAGUGUGCCACCCAGAGGGUCCAGAGGUUCCUCACAUAACAGUGAAAUAAUAAAACUUUUAAACCUGUUUUUGUCUUCAGUGGUGCUGAAUCCUAAAACCCCUUCUGACUUUAUUGGAUGGAAAUGUGAGUGAGGAGGAAAUGAUUCACCUACAGAGUGAUGAUGUUAUGGACAUGUACCCAUUUUAAGUAUUUUGUUUGGUCUGGUUACACUUCACAAUAGGUCUGUGUGUUGACACUGUGAAGGGAAAGGUGUGUAGGACGGGUGCCAGUUUUUGUUUGAUUCAGUUUCUCYUGUUUUUGUAAUCUAGUGAGGUAAGAUUAAUGUAAUUUGUUUGUUUAGUUUUGAUGGACAGGACAGCAGUUACUCAGAAAGUUAGAGUAUUUUGUUUGUUGUUUUGGCUGAAGCCCAGUCUGAAGCUAAUUGCUACUGUUUUCCCUUUUAUUACUUCAGUGUUUAAUUCUGGCCAUGAGUAACUGUUAAGGCACCACAUUUAAUGUUUUUCUUUUCUCUUUAUUUACUAUGUUUAUUGUCAUAUAUUGUUUGCCUAAAUAGUUUUCUUUUUUUCUUCUUCUCACAUAUAUCUUUUAUUAUUAAUUUUGUUUGUUCAUUUGAUUUGACUCAGCCCUUUAUUUUUGACUGAGCACCAGGAGCAGGAUGUGUCACGGCUCUGAGGAUUUCUUUCUUUCUUUUAUUUUUUUCUGUUGACUAAAUAAGUGAGAUGAUGUUAACACCUCACAUAAGUAGUUACAAACCUCACAGAACAUUACCACUUGGACACUUAUAACUUGCUGUUGCUCAUCAGCACUGUAUAAACAUAAUGAUAAAGUUUGUUUUCCAUGCAUGGUAUUGAAACUUGUCAUUUUUUUGCAAGAUACUGGUGUGGUGUUUUCUGUGUUUCCAGGAGGACACCAGGCUGAUUCUGUUACAUGGACUUUGGACUCAAAUUCUUGGACAGGACUCAUAAAUCUGUAGAGGUUCGGCAGUACAAAGGACUUGGACUCUGAGUUGUGAUGGCUCAAACAUUUUUGCCACAGAACAGGACUGAAUCUGGCACCAUGGGUGACAGAAAACAAAAACUACCGUUGUUAAGAACUCUUAUAAUCUUUUUUACGUGUUUAUCAUUUUGGUUUUUAUUCCUUAUAUCAUAUUGUUUGAUGUGACAAUCCUUUACUACUGUAUGUGUUACUUGUUGUUUUGACUGUCUUAUUAUGAUCAUCUUAUGUGGUGAGCUGAGUCUCAUAGAAAUAUCUAACUCACUUUGUGUUUAUGCAUGGCUCACGUUACAUUUGUCCUUACUAGCAUAGGUAACAAACCGGGACGAGAUUCGCAUUGAAAAGUCCCUAAAAUUAGUUUAUGUUAAUUGUUAGAUUCGAACGGAGAUUUCCUUCACAGAUUGGCAUGGAGUGAGGAUUUCUCUGGGACCUAAGGUCUUUUCCCCACCCCUGUUUCAUGGGGAGGUUUUUCUGAUCGUGAUGGGUCAUUUUAGGCGAAUUGCAACGAGUCAGCCUUCAGGUCCCCUGCAGUGACACAGAUUUUUAAAUGAGUAUGCAUGGAUUGUUUGUCCAUGUCAGUCAUGGAGGUGUUUACAGUCAGGAGGCCUGUGGGGGUGGCUGAUGUAGCCGUGUUUGACCUUAUUAGAAAAUUAGGCUUAGUUUACCUACUUUUAAAGUAAUUUAAAAUAAUGUGCRCUUAGGACUUAAAAUAGGUUAUUAGCUAAAUUAGACAACCUCUAAAUUGUAGGCUGUACCGUUUUUUUAUUUGCUAAUGGACAAGUGAUAUUAUCCAAUGAAUUUGAACAGCAAAGUUCUUGUGUUGCAGUGGCUAUGGUGUUGUCUUUUCUCGAUUUAUAGCCAAUCCUUUAUUUUUCUUUCAGGAUUAAUUAGUCCCGAAGGGGGAAAUUAUGUAGUGUCCAAAGAGUGGGGGACCUCUUCUCAGGAAUGCACAGAUGUGAUGUCUCUUAGUCUCUAGCUUUAGAGCUCGGCACAUAUGACCAUAUUAGGAAGAAGAACGCUUAAGGUAUACCAUGACAAGUUUAUGGUACAUCUGUGAAAGCUUAUAAAGAGCCUUGUAUGCCCCUGCUCUUGGCCUUCRUCUUCAUCUUCUUACUUGGUGAAUCAUUUUGGCAUUGGAGGCCACAAUUUGGUUUUUGGCUGUAAUCUCCUGGACUGCAAAAAUAUUCUUGCUGUUCAAUCAGCCUGUUUUCAGAGUCCUCUCUUCAAUUUAGCAACAGCAGUUCCACUUCAACCAGAAGUCGUGGUUUCUACACCUCAUAACAAUAAGCGUUUUCUUGAGAUAAUGAGUUAAUUACGUCUAGUCUGACAGGGUCUGAUGCACCCACAGUUGUGCGACCAGGAUUUUCUGUUGUUCAUGUCUUCAUUGUGCUCAAUUUAACUGUCUGCACCCAUCAACAACUGAACACCAAAUGUUUCUGCUGUGAUGCAAUAAUACCCAAACCAUAGUGACUGACAUUAUGUUCACCUUUAUUCAACCAUGUACUGUACCAGCCCUUUAAACUCAYUAAGAAUACAGUUUGAUAAUCAACCAUAGUUUCAUACAGAGAUGCACAGGUGGAGCACAGGUGUGUUGGUUUAUCCUCUCACAUAAGUUGAAGUGGCACAAUUAUUAUGCAUGAAUUACUUUAAAAAUAAAAGAUCAUUAGCAUUAAUUAGAGAAUAAUCUCUAACAGGGAGGAUUGAAGUGGCAGGUCCAGACUAGUUGUGUAAGCCAAAUUAUUUCUGUUAUAUACAGUUUGCCAUAUUUGGUCAGGAAUGUUCUGGUCAAAAAGUUACUUUCAUUGGUGUUUGUGGGUCUCAAGGUUUGUYUACAAUGGAGGAAGAACAGGGGGUGGACCGAUUAACUGGAAAUGGUGAUGGAAAUAAGUUCUGGGAAAUGUUACAUAAAAGUUUCCAAUAUGUGCGUUUGUGAGAAGUCAUCUCGAAUCUUGGCUUAGUUUGAUCUGAUGACGUGCAUAGAAUGUAUAAAAGACACCAAAGUCGUGACUUCAGGGGUUCUCUCCCAUUCUUGGUUUGUUCAGUGUCUAACUGUCUGAGAACCUCAUGACUUCAAUAAAACUCCCUCAGCUGUC
This is a long non-coding RNA of Austrofundulus limnaeus, 3269 nucleotides long. RefSeq lists it as uncharacterized. The record is from RefSeq and is a predicted model, not a curated record. The transcript is spliced from 2 exons. Lineage: Eukaryota; Metazoa; Chordata; Actinopteri; Cyprinodontiformes; Rivulidae.